Long non-coding RNA from Nanorana parkeri, 167 nucleotides. RefSeq lists it as uncharacterized. The transcript is spliced from 2 exons. The record is from RefSeq and is a predicted model, not a curated record. Lineage: Eukaryota; Metazoa; Chordata; Amphibia; Anura; Dicroglossidae.
UACUGGGGAGUGAGCUGUGUGUACUGGAGUGUAGAUCUCACUGGUGACAUGGAUACUGGGGAGUGAGCCGUGUGUACUGGAGUGCGGAUCUCACUGGUGAUAUGGACACUGGGGAGUGAGCUGUGUGUACUGGAUGCGGAUCUCACUGGUGACAUGGAUACUGGGGA